UACGAAGGGGGCUAGCGUUGUUCGGAUUUACUGGGCGUAAAGCGCACGUAGGCGGGUCGUUAAGUCAGGGGUGAAAUCCCGGAGCUCAACUCCGGAACUGCCUUUGAUACUGGCGACCUUGAGGCUGGAAGAGGUUAGUGGAAUUCCCAGUGUAGAGGUGAAAUUCGUAGAUAUUGGGAGGAACACCAGUGGCGAAGGCGGCUCACUGGACCGGAACUGACGCUGAGGCGCGAAAGCGUGGGGAGCAAACAGG
Molecule: ribosomal RNA, 253 nt
Filed under: uncultured bacterium
Lineage: Bacteria
Description: partial 16S ribosomal RNA
Rfam family: Bacterial small subunit ribosomal RNA
Source: RNAcentral